RNAcentral lists this ribosomal RNA (166 nucleotides) under uncultured bacterium. Its description in RNAcentral is "partial 16S ribosomal RNA". It matches the Rfam family "Bacterial small subunit ribosomal RNA", at positions 198 to 354 of the family's 1533-position model. The record is from RNAcentral.
CGAGAANAGGGACCGGCAGGACGUCUCGCGAGCGGAGGCGGCCGAUGACUGAUUAGCCUGUUGGUGAGGUAACGGCUCACCAAAGCAACGAUCAGUAGCUGGUCUGAGAGGACGACCAGCCACACUGGGACUGAGACACGGCCCAGACUCCUACGGGAGGCAGCAG